Molecule: ribosomal RNA, 150 nt
Filed under: Pantoea sp. AV62
Lineage: Bacteria; Pseudomonadati; Pseudomonadota; Gammaproteobacteria; Enterobacterales; Erwiniaceae
Description: partial 16S ribosomal RNA
Rfam family: Bacterial small subunit ribosomal RNA
Source: RNAcentral
ACUUAAAUUGAAGAGUUUGAUCAUGGCUCAGAUUGAACGCUGGCGGCAGGCCUAACACAUGCAAGUCGGACGGUAGCACAGAGAGCUUGCUCUUGGGUGACGAGUGGCGGACGGGUGAGUAAUGUCUGGGGAUCUGCCCGAUAGAGGGGG